This 301-nucleotide long non-coding RNA is filed under the name Panax ginseng (ginseng). RNAcentral describes it as "long non-coding RNA (PGIN_LNC002508)". Lineage: Eukaryota; Viridiplantae; Streptophyta; Magnoliopsida; Apiales; Araliaceae. The record is from RNAcentral.
ACAAUGUUUUUUCUGCGUUGUCUAUUUACUAUUUUGUAGUAGUGCACCCUCAAAACCUACUGUCAGAUGAUCCUCGAAAUAGGGAACCCAGUCAAAAUCACGAGUGGCGCUAGCCAAAGAAAAAGAGACUGUCGAGGAGUUGUCCGCUAGGAAACAACCCUUGAUGAUGACCAAGAACAAUCGCCAAAGAAUACGAUCUCUAACCCUCUGAUCAUCAGGUAGAGGCUCAGUCAAAUCUCCACUCGUGGCAUCCACACUCAAGAGCCUUGAGCGGUCGGUCUGACCCUUGAGGGUCAUGGCA